CGCUACGAAUGCACUAGCGAUCCGCCGGCGGAUUUAUUCGCCCUGGUGGGGAGCUUCCCGGAAACGAAAGUCUUCCGGUUCCGGGGGAAGUAUGGUUGCAAAGCUGAAACUUAAAGGAAUUGACGGAAGGGCACCACCAGGAGUGGAGCCUGCGGCUUAAUUUGACUCAACACGGGGAAACUCACCCGGCCCGGACACCGUAAGGAUUGACAGAUUGAUAGCUUUUUCAUGAUUCGGUGGAUGGUGGUGCAUGGCCGUUCUUAGUUCGUGGAGCGAUUUGUCUGGUUUAUUCCGAUAACGAGCGAGACUCUGGCCUACUAAAUAGUUGGCUCAUUGCUUCUGUGGGCACAACUUCUUAGAGGGAUUUUCGGUGUUCAGCCGCACGAAAUUGAGCAAUAACAGGUCUGUGAUGCCCUUAGAUGUCCGGGGCUGCACGCGCGCUACACUGGCAAAAUCAGCGUGCUUGUCCUUCCCCGAAAGGGGUUGGUAAACCGGUGAAAAUUUGCCGUGAUUGGGAUCGGACAUUGCAAUUAUUGUCCGUGAACGAGGAAUUCCUUGUAGGGGCGAGUCAUCAACUCGCUCUGAUUACGUCCGGCCCCCCUUUGGAAAAAAAACAAA
Molecule: ribosomal RNA, 618 nt
Filed under: Heterodera avenae (cereal cyst nematode)
Lineage: Eukaryota; Metazoa; Nematoda; Chromadorea; Rhabditida; Heteroderidae
Description: SSU rRNA
Rfam family: Eukaryotic small subunit ribosomal RNA
Source: RNAcentral